This 497-nucleotide ribosomal RNA is filed under the name uncultured bacterium. RNAcentral's name for it is "partial 16S ribosomal RNA". It matches the Rfam family "Bacterial small subunit ribosomal RNA", at positions 28 to 507 of the family's 1533-position model. The record is from RNAcentral.
GAUGAACGCUGGCGGCGUGCCUAAUACAUGCAAGUCGAGCGAACAGACGAGGAGCUUGCUCCUCUGACGUUAGCGGCGGACGGGUGAGUAACACGUGGAUAACCUACCUAUAAGACUGGGAUAACUUCGGGAAACCGGAGCUAACACCGGAUAAUAUAUUGAACCGCAUGGUUCAAUAGUGAAAGACGGUUUUGCUGUCUCUUAUAGCUGGAUCUCCGCCGCAUUAGCUAGUUGGUAAGGUAACGGCUUACCAAGGCAACGAUGCGUAGCCGACCUGAGAGGGUGAUCGGCCACACUGGAGCUGAGACACGGUCCAGACUCCUACGGGAGGCAGCAGUAGGGAAUCUGCCGCAAUGGGCGAAAGCUUGACGGAGCAACGGCGCGUGAGUGAUGAAGGUCUUGGGAGCGUAAAACUCUGUUAUGAGGGAAGAACAAAUGUGUAAGGAACUAUGCACGUCUUGACGGUACCUAAUCAGAAAGCCACGGCUAACUACGUG